GACAGAGGUCCCAAGCGUUGUUCGGAUUCACUGGGCGUAAAGGGUGCGCAGGUGGUCGGGUAAGUCUGACGUGAAAUCCCGCAGCUUAACUGCGGAAUGGCAUUGGAUACUAUGCGGCUAGAGGGUUGGAGGGGGGACUGGAAUUCUCGGUGUAGCAGUGAAAUGCGUAGAUAUCGAGAGGAACACCAGUGGCGAAGGCGAGUCCCUGGACAACUCCUGACGCUGAGGCACGAAAGCUAGGGGAGCAAACAGG
This 253-nucleotide ribosomal RNA is filed under the name uncultured bacterium. RNAcentral's name for it is "partial 16S ribosomal RNA". It matches the Rfam family "Bacterial small subunit ribosomal RNA", at positions 524 to 776 of the family's 1533-position model. The record is from RNAcentral.